Bombyx mori (domestic silkworm) is the source of this 982-nucleotide long non-coding RNA. RefSeq lists it as uncharacterized. NCBI's taxonomy places the organism in Eukaryota, Metazoa, Arthropoda, Insecta, Lepidoptera, Bombycidae. The transcript has 3 exons. The record is from RefSeq and is a predicted model, not a curated record.
UUUGCACUUGAUAAAUUUAAAUUGACCGAUAAACUAUGAUGGUCGGGUUAUUACAAUUUAUAUAAAAAACAACAUGUUUGUGAUUUCUCCGGGGGCUCAUUUAAGUUUUGUAGUCGCUGAUGUUGUGACCGAAAGCGAGUUACGUGCUGAAUUUGAUGAGCUGUAUUUGAUAGAUAAAAAUAAUAAGAAAAGUCAGGAUAUUACUUCAAAUUUUUUUACGCACGCUGAUAUUUUUAAGAGGGAUGUUUUGAAAGUAUAAAAGACUGGCUUUCAAGAAUUUUCGUUCAUAUCUUAAACAGACGUGUCCUUAGAAGGAUCCAAUUCAGAUUUUCGGAUAUCUCUGGGCGAGUCAUUAAAUAAAUAAAAAACUUAUUAAGGUUUAUAAAAUGCAGGCCACGUGCUGGUUGUUCGGGGUGCUGAUAAUAUGCGGUCUAAAUAUAGUAUAUCCGCACAUCCUGACCGCUUCUUUAAGUGAAGCGUCCAAAUUCUGCCCCAGAAUGCUAAGAACACUAAUUCUCAAGGACUUAUGCCAGAUAUACGGACAUUUACAUGGCGGUUACCCGUUUACUGAUACGGAUAUUAGAAAAUUGGAGUUCCAACAGAAAAUGAUUAGGAAGUGUUGUACGAAUCCUUGUACAGUCGCCGAAUUGAUGUAUUUAUGUUAAAACGACCUUGAAAAUGUAUACAAAACAUAACACGUACCUGUCUGUAGAUAUAUGUAUUAGAAUUUAGUCGCAAUUAAUAUAAAACUAUUUAUUGAAUUUUUUGUAGAAUUCUGCUUUAGAGAGUCAGCAUAGAGCAGUAACUAGAUAUACGUGGAUUUAUUUUACGUUUAAUCUUGAAUUAAAUAAUAAAUUUAAAACUUACCUUUUACUUCACUUUAUACUUAAGUGAUAUUUUGAAUUCAAUUUAAGUAAGUGUUCAAGUAAUUUCCUGAGAUUGCUUAUAUCUGUGCAAAAUAUUUAUUUCGAUGAAAAUUUUA